AUAUCUCCGUUAAGGAAAAAGCAGGGGACUUUUUAAGCCUUGCGCUUUCAGAGGAGCUUACGUCGGAUUAACUAGUUGGUAGGGUAAAGGCCUACCAAGGUUACGAUCCGUAGCUGGUCUGAGAGGAUGAUCAGCCACACUGGGAUUGAGAUACGGCCCAGACUCCUACGGGAGGCAGCAGUGGGGAAUAUUGGACAAUGGGCGAAAGCCUGAUCCAGCAAUGCCGCGUGUGUGAAGAAGGCCUUAGGGUUGUAAAGCACUUUCAGCAAUGAAGAAGUUAUAUUAGCUAAAUAUCUAAUAUGAUUGACGUUAGUUGCAGAAGAAGUACUGGCUAACCUCUGUGCCAGCAGCCCGCGGGUAAAUACAGAGAGUGCAAAGCCGUUAAUCGGAAUUAUUGGGGCCGUAAAAGGGUGGUGUAAGGUUGGUUAAAAAAAAGUUAAGAAUGGGGA
This 449-nucleotide ribosomal RNA is filed under the name uncultured bacterium. Its description in RNAcentral is "bacterial SSU rRNA". It matches the Rfam family "Bacterial small subunit ribosomal RNA", at positions 173 to 606 of the family's 1533-position model. The record is from RNAcentral.